UGGUGGAGUGAUUUGUCUGCUUAAUUGCGAUAACGAACGAGACCUUAACCUACUAACUAGCCUGUAUUGCUUUGGCAGUACGCUGGCUUCUUAGAGGGACUAUCGGCUCAAGCCGAUGGAAGUUUGAGGCAAUAACA
This 137-nucleotide ribosomal RNA is filed under the name uncultured eukaryote. RNAcentral describes it as "partial 18S ribosomal RNA". It matches the Rfam family "Eukaryotic small subunit ribosomal RNA", at positions 1299 to 1458 of the family's 1831-position model. The record is from RNAcentral.